This 325-nucleotide ribosomal RNA is filed under the name uncultured microorganism. RNAcentral describes it as "bacterial SSU rRNA". It matches the Rfam family "Bacterial small subunit ribosomal RNA", at positions 9 to 297 of the family's 1533-position model. The record is from RNAcentral.
GAGUUUGAUCAUGGCUCAGGAUGAACGCCGGCGGUGUGCCUAAUACAUGCAAGUCGUACGCACUGGCCCAACUGAUUGAUGGUGCUUGCACCUGAUUGACGAUGGAUCACCAGUGAGUGGCGGACGGGUGAGUAACACGUAGGUAACCUGCCCCGGAGCGGGGGAUAACAUUUGGUAACAGAUGCUAAUACCGCAUAACAACAAAGGCCACAUGGCUUUGUUUGUAAGAUGGCUUUGGCCAUCACUCUGGGAUGGACCUGCGGUGGCAUUAGCUAGUUGGUAAGGUAACGGCUUACCAAGGCGAUGAUGCAUAGCCGAGUUGAGA